AUAGAGAAAUAGAAACCAGUUUUCUUGUCCACGUGUACCUUAUUCGAAGCACAGUUUUCUCAGUGUAACUCAGUGGUCCUGUUUUUUUGAGGUGACUGCUGAGUCUGCCCCUUACCACACACAUUUUAACACCGCCCUGAGAAAAGCACCUACUUUGAGGUGACUGCAGGUAGGUCUUCCACACCAGGUAACCACGUUUCUGACUCCUUUUCCUGACACCGUGGUCCCCUUGGUGUCUUUCCUUUUCCUUUAAUUACCCCCCUGGACAGUGAAGUGCAGCAUCUCUCACUAAUAUUCUAAUAUUCUCUUCACCUUCCGUAGUCUCUUGAAAUAGGAGAGGAAGGAGAUGACAGCUGUGGAAUUUUUUUUUUUUUUUUUUGAAACACCUGCAAAGGCAAUAUGGCAUUAUUCGUCCCUAUUUGCAGGGCUGGCAGUGCGUUGAGUUGAAUAAGUAUUCUCAGUACUAGCCAGAUUCAGCUAAAAUGAAGCUGCUUGAAGAUUUGAGGUCAAACAAAACUUUAUGUUGAGGGACCACUUCUUUGUUUGAGUCAAGAUGAGUGGCCUUUAUUGGCUCAGGGACGCCUGCAGGUCAUUUCUGCAGAGUUAAAAUAUGUUUCUCCGUGGUCUGCAGGACACUUAAGGUAUAUAAAAAGUAAUUUUCGAAAUGUGGUUCUGGAGCCGCCAGUGGUCUAACAGCCGUAGAGGGUAUGACUGCUUGUCCUUGUGUGGAGUGGCGAGUGGUCCAGGUACCUGAAUUUAAGUGCCCGUCUGCUCUACAAGCCUGAUGGGGAUGAUCCGGGUGAUGGCUCCGUCUUGGCCAGCUGGGGACCAUGACCCCGGCACACUGGAUGAAGCCCCUUCUCCCACGGGGUCGCAGUAGAUGUUUUGUACUUGAGGUUGUGGGGCCUCCAUGCUGCUUGGACUUAGGGACCUUUCCUUCUUGGCAGCCUUUGCUUCUGCCACCAGGUGCUGGAGUCAGAGAUAAGCUCCAGGGGCCUAUUAAUAUUGCUGAGGGUAGACAGGGAUAAGUAUCUCAAAGGUUAGACCCACUCUGAUGAAAGCCUUGGAAACUGAUACAGACUAACCAAACUUUGCAAAUAAGUUAAGAUUUGCAGUGUAUAUGGACUCUUCAAUGAAAAGGGUGUUAAUCUGGAAACGUGUGUUUGUUCACAGACGAAUUCCCAUUUCAUGUAUGUGUGUACAUUGUAAGGCAUGAAGGGUAGGUUGAUCAUUCUGUGUGAGGUAAUUUUGUUUGUUUAAGGGCCGCACGUUCCCAGGCCAGGGGUCACAUCGAAGCUGCUGGCCUAAGCCACAGCUGCUGCAACUCCAGAUCCUUUAACCCACUGAGGCCACAAAUUGAACAUGCAUCCUCAUGGAUACUAGUUGGGUUCUUAACCUGCUGAACCGCAGUGGGACCUCUAUGGGCUGGUGCUUUUAAAAUUUUCUUUUUAUUUAUUCAUUUUGUAAGGUGGAUUAGUAGCACCCAUCUUGUAUCCUUAGCGUUAUGAUCUUGGGUCCAGACACAGGCUCUUAAAACUGCCAAAUUGGGCUGCGAUUAGAGGCAAGUGCUCGCUUUCAGAAGGGAGGUUUUCUGGGGUUUGUUAAGAUGGAUGCCUGUUGUUCCUUCAGAUUGUGUUAUAUUGGCACUUGCUUGCACUGCAUGUGGUGGAGGACACUGAUAUUCUUGACUGGUCUGAUCAGUCUUCGCUUGUAGUCGUACCUUGGAGACAGUGAUCCUGUGCUUGACUCACAAGUUCAGGUAUCGUACUGGUCUCAGAGUUCAUAUUUGGACCCUCGCAUCACCUCAGACUGGAAUUCAGCUCCUAGUAGCCUCUGUCAUUCUAAAGCUGCUUCAGUCUGACCCUCUAUCCUCAGGAAGCUUUUUUUGUUUGUUUUUAGGGUCGCACCCUCAACCUAUGGAGGUUCCCAGGCUAGGGGUCUAAUAGGAGCUGCAGCCACCGGCCUAUGCCACAGCCACAGCAACACCAGAUCUGAGCCACGUCUGCAACCUACACCACAGUUCAUGGCAAUGCCGGGUCCUUAACCCACUGAGCGAGGCCAAGGAUCGAACCUGCAACCUCAUGGUUCCUAGUCAGAUUCGUUUCUGCUGUGCCACGACGGGAACUCCUGUUUAUGUGUUUUUAAAAUAUACUUUAUAUAUGGGAAAAUGUACCUUUUAAAAACGUGGAGUCCUGGAUAUUGUGACAAACGCGCUCAGCUGUUUGACCACCACUGCAGUCAUGAUAUGGGACAUCUCUGUUACCCCCAAGGUUUCUUUGUGCUCCUUGCAGCCAGCGCCUCCUCCCGCACCCCAAUCCUAGGCGGGCCAUCCAUCAGUUCCCCGUCCCUGCAACCACAAGGCCAUAGGGACGAAUUGUCCAGUAUGGAGCCUUUGGAGUCUGGCUGCUCUUGCUGGCUGUGGUGCCUGGGAGUCAUCCAUGUCACUGUGUUGUGCGUAGGGCAUUGUCUUUAUUGCUGAGAGGUACUCUGCCAGCGUGUACCAGAGUUUGUUUAUCCGUUCACCAACUGAAGGACAUUUGGAUUAUUCAGUGUUUGGUA
This 2559-nucleotide long non-coding RNA is filed under the name Sus scrofa (pig). RNAcentral describes it as "lncRNA (ENSSSCG00015068471.1)". The record is from RNAcentral. Lineage: Eukaryota; Metazoa; Chordata; Mammalia; Artiodactyla; Suidae.